CUCCUGGGUUAAAAUCAUUAUCAGGAUCAGGAGUCAACCAGCCAAAAAAUUUCAUAUCGCAGGCCCUAUUACAGGAACUGAGUGGGGAUCUUGUCUGGUGUGAGUUUGUAGAGGAUUGACAGUCUGUGUGCAGCCGCCACGGCACACCCCUCAGUGACCACAUCCGCCAUAAGCAGCCAGAGAUGAAACGAUAUGGAGAUUAUCGGGACAAAAAGCCUCCCAGCUUGUCACGGGAUGCAGAGCGUAUUGUACAUCCACAUGUAUUGAACACAAACCUGUCACCGUCUGUGACAGCCCCAUUCAUCACACACAAAGCCAAUCCUGUCAGCGGCACAAUGCGCUCUAUCUGUGCCUCUUCCCUCCCCCCUUCUAAGUGACAGCAUUGAAAUGAACAUUAGGACACUCGGCAGAGUCCCAAUAAUUACCCGUAUAUCCAGAGGCAGAGGGGCUUUGCCGUGCUGACAGAGGGAGCAUCAUUUCCUGAGUGUUCCCAGGGACCACAGACUGCAAUAACACCACUCAACAGGCCUAUCAAGUUGAUCCACAUCACAUUUUCACACAAUUGCAAACACCUAACCUAUUUAUGCUGUAAGCAACAGCAGCAAGCUAAUAA
Thunnus maccoyii (southern bluefin tuna) is the source of this 613-nucleotide long non-coding RNA. RefSeq lists it as uncharacterized. The record is from RefSeq and is a predicted model, not a curated record. The transcript has 3 exons. Lineage: Eukaryota; Metazoa; Chordata; Actinopteri; Scombriformes; Scombridae.